AGUGAACGCUGGCGGUAGGCCUAACACAUGCAAGUCGAACGGCAGCACAGGAGAGCUUGCUCUCUGGGUGGCGAGUGGCGGACGGGUGAGGAAUACAUCGGAAUCUACUUUUUCGUGGGGGAUAACGUAGGGAAACUUACGCUAAUACCGCAUACGACCUACGGGUGAAAGCAGGGGACCUUCGGGCCUUGCGCGAAUGAAUGAGCCGAUGUCGGAGUAGCAAGUUGGCGGGGGAAAGGCCAGCCAAGUCGGCGAUCCGUAGCUGGUCUGAGAGGAUGAUCAGCCACACUGGAACUGAGACACGGCCCAGACUCCUACGGGAGGCAGCAGUGGGGAAUAUUGGACAAUGGGCGCAAGCCUGAUCCAGCCAUACCGCGUGGGUGAAGAAGGCCUUCGGGUUGUAAAGCCCUUUUGUUGGGAAAGAAAUCCAGCCGGCUAAUACCUGGUUGGGAUGACGGUACCCAAAGAAUAAGCACCGGCUAACUUCGUGCCAGCCGCCGCCGUAA
RNAcentral lists this ribosomal RNA (506 nucleotides) under uncultured bacterium. Its description in RNAcentral is "partial 16S ribosomal RNA". It matches the Rfam family "Bacterial small subunit ribosomal RNA", at positions 29 to 523 of the family's 1533-position model. The record is from RNAcentral.